GAUGAACGCUGGCGGCGUGCUUAACACAUGCAAGUCGAACGGGAUCGGCUGGAGCUUGCUCCGGCCGUGAGAGUGGCGAACGGGUGAGUAAUGCGUGACCGACCUGCCCCAUACACCGGAAUAGCUCCUGGAAACGGGUGGUAAUGCCGGAUGCUCCAGUCCGAUCGCAUGGUGGUCUGGGAAAGAUUUUAUCGGUAUGGGAUGGGGUCGCGUCCUAUCAGGUAGUCGGCGGGGUAACGGCCCACCGAGCCUACGACGGGUAGCCGGCCUGAGAGGGCGACCGGCCACAUUGGGACUGAGAUACGGCCCAGACUCCUACGGGAGGCAGCAGUGGGGAAUAUUGCACAAUGGGCGCAAGCCUGAUGCAGCGACGCCGCGUGCGGGAUGACGGCCUUCGGGUUGUAAACCGCUUUUGAUGGGGAGCAAGCCUUCGGGUGAGUGUACCCUUCGAAUAAGCACCGGCUAACUACGUGCCAGCAGCCGCGGUAAUACGUAGGGUGCAAGCGUUAUCCGGAAUUAUUGGGCGUAAAGAGCUCGUAGGCGGUUCGUCGCGUCCGGUGUGAAAGUCCAUCGCUUAACGGUGGAUCUGCGCCGGGUACGGGCGGGCUGGAGUGCGGUAGGGGAGACUGGAAUUCCCGGUGUAACGGUGGAAUGUGUAGAUAUCGGGAAGAACACCAAUGGCGAAGGCAGGUCUCUGGGCCGUUACUGACGCUGAGGAGCGAAAGCGUGGGGAGCGAACAGGAUUAGAUACCCUGGUAGUCCACGCGGUAAACGGUGGAUGCUGGAUGUGGGGCCAUUCCACGGGUUCCGUGUCGGAGCUAACGCGUUAAGCAUCCCGCCUGGGGAGUACGGCCGCAAGGCUAAAACUCAAAGAAAUUGACGGGGGCCCGCACAAGCGGCGGAGCAUGCGGAUUAAUUCGAUGCAACGCGAAGAACCUUACCUGGGCUUGACAUGUUCCCGACAGCCCCAGAGAUGGGGCCUCCCUUCGGGGCGGGUUCACAGGUGGUGCAUGGUCGUCGUCAGCUCGUGUCGUGAGAUGUUGGGUUAGGUCCCGCAACGAGCGCAACCCUCGCCCCGUGUUGCCAGCACAUGAUGGUGGGAACUCACGGGGGACCGCCGGGGUUAACUCGGAGGAAGGUGGGGAUGACGUCAGAUCAUCAUGCCCCUUACGUCCAGGGCUUCACGCAUGCUACAAUGGCCGGUACAACGGGAUGCGACAUGGCGACAUGGAGCGGAUCCCUGAAAACCGGUCUCAGUUCGGAUUGGAGUCUGCAACCCGACUCCAUGAAGGCGGAGUCGCUAGUAAUCGCGAAUCAGCAACGUCGCGGUGAAUGCGUUCCCGGGCCU
RNAcentral lists this ribosomal RNA (1348 nucleotides) under uncultured bacterium. Its description in RNAcentral is "bacterial SSU rRNA". It matches the Rfam family "Bacterial small subunit ribosomal RNA", at positions 28 to 1381 of the family's 1533-position model. The record is from RNAcentral.